GAAUCACCUCCAGGCUUGUUGGAUGGGAUUCAUUGUUGUACUCCGAUUGUUUGGAUUUUCUUUGUCGACUUUGUUGUAUGAUCCUGUUACUCAUAUAGAUGAGGGUGUUGGUUUCACCUUGUACUCAUCACUCUUUGUGUAUGUUGUUUCUGUGCUUCUAUGUUGUUCUUGCUGCAGGUUGCCAUCUUUUGAGAUGACUCAGGCUCUUUGAAUGCCUGAGGAAUGAACAUAUCAUGUGCAUCAUACGCAUCAUUAGCACCAUACUCAUAUCAUUUUGCAAA
This 281-nucleotide long non-coding RNA is filed under the name Lathyrus oleraceus (garden pea). Its description in RNAcentral is "Pisum sativum (pea) long non-coding RNA (PSAT_LNC038007)". The record is from RNAcentral. Lineage: Eukaryota; Viridiplantae; Streptophyta; Magnoliopsida; Fabales; Fabaceae.